This 482-nucleotide ribosomal RNA is filed under the name uncultured bacterium. RNAcentral describes it as "partial 16S ribosomal RNA". It matches the Rfam family "Bacterial small subunit ribosomal RNA", at positions 29 to 507 of the family's 1533-position model. The record is from RNAcentral.
AUUGAACGCUGGCGGCAUGCCUUACACAUGCAAGUCGAACGGUAACGGGCCUUCGGGUGCCGACGAGUGGCGAACGGGUGAGUAAUACAUCGGAACGUGCCCGAUCGUGGGGGAUAACGAGGCGAAAGCUUUGCUAAUACCGCAUACGAUCUACGGAUGAAAGCAGGGGACCGCAAGGCCUUGCGCGGACGGAGCGGCCGAUGGCAGAUUAGGUAGUUGGUGGGAUAAAAGCUUACCAAGCCGACGAUCUGUAGCUGGUCUGAGAGGAUGAUCAGCCACACGGGGACUGCGUCAGGGCCACGACGCCGACGGGAGGCAGCAGUGGGGAAUUUUGGACAAUGGCGGCAAGCCUGACCCGUCCAUGCCGCGUGAAGGAUAAGUGCCUUCGGGUUGUAAACUGCUUUUGUACGAAACGAAAAGCAUUAUUUGAAGACAGGAGGGGCAUGGGGGUACCGUAAGAAUAAGCACGGGCCAACUACUUC